This 2852-nucleotide long non-coding RNA is filed under the name Homo sapiens (human). RNAcentral's name for it is "HSALNT0083477". Lineage: Eukaryota; Metazoa; Chordata; Mammalia; Primates; Hominidae. The record is from RNAcentral.
UUUCUCCCGGGUGAGGCUUGCCUGCAGGGAGGAGCAAGAGCUAUGGUUGCAAAUCCACAGCCUGGCUGCUCGCUUAUUUUACAUCAGUGGGACUGAUGGCAGGUUCCAUUCUGGGACUUGGUUGUCGCUUGGCAAUGGGCCUCGGGAGCAUGUUCUCUGCCAGAGGCGGUGCUGCCUGGUGCUGGUCAGUGGCUGUGUGGUAUUCCACAGCAGCCCCGUGCAGUGGCUCUGCUGACCCUGCCUUUCUAGUCUUCCGCCACGAAAACAAGCAAUAGUGAACAUUCUUGUGCACGUGUCUUUGAGCACAUGUGCAUGUAGGAUGGAUAUCUGGGUGCCUAUGCACCGAUUUUUAAAUGAUGAGAGGUCACUAAAAUCUAAGGAGCGUCCCACGCCAAGCAUUCGCGUAGCUAUGAUGCAAGCUUAGGGUAUGCACAGCACAGGCCACUGGCUACUGAGUACAUGUCAGCAAAAUGGAAAGAACAGAGAAAAAUGGGAAAAAUCAGGAGCUCAGAAUAGCCAAGACUGCAGGGCCCUGGUUGAGAGAGGUGGAGGUGGACUCUGAAAGAGAGCAGAAGGAUCUGCAACCUGAAGAGAACGGUCACAGUAUUCUGCACGUAAUGCAGUGUGAAUGCAGAUUCUACGAGGAACUAUGCCUUACAAUUGGAUUUUAAUUCAAUUUCUCUAGGAUUAAACAGAAUGAAAAAGGGUCAUAAGGUUUUGAAGAUGUCUGUUUAUUUUCACUUAUAUGUGAUCUUGAUCAACUUGUCUAUGAGUAUUACUGAGUGAGCAAGAACUCUCUGAGCUCAACUUACUUCUCCACUAUAAUUUUACGCAUUCUUUGCUUGCCAGUUUAUAUGAAGUGUGCUACACCAACUAAUCCAAAAUAGAUGACAAUGAGUCCUGGCAUCUAAAGCUUUUAACUUUGAAUGCCUCUUACUAUUUCAAUUCACAGUGAUAAAAAUAUUACUGUUAUGUACAUGUGUUAAGCACUAUUGUAUAUCGCUUUGAAGCCUAUCCUGCUGCUUUCGUGAAAAAUGGAUGUGCGUGUGUUUCUGUGUAUACAGGCAAAUAUCAUCAGAAGCACUUUCACUGUGAUGGUAACCUUUCUAUACACUUUCUAACUUGUCUGGAUUUUCUUGAAGGUCGAUUGGGUUUUCAACUGUGUUAUCUGCUAGGUGUUUGAUGGAGUGGUCCAGAUAACAGAAGAGAGAGCAAAGGAAAAAGAAUUUUUUGAAGAUCAAAAGUGGCUGUUCAUUUUGUUAUCUGACCCUAUCUGUUGUCAUAGUAACAGGUUUCUUUUAACCUAUGUCAUGGGAUGAUUUGUCUCUAUCUGCUCUGAAUUCUCCUUUGACUGAAGAGCUGCUCCUCCAGCACCUAGCCGUUUUCCAGGCUGUCUGUGAAGCUCUGCAGAGGGGCCAGAGAACGGUUCCCAGGUCGGAAGGGAUUUAAAUUACAUUUUCAAUUUAAACCGCUAUCUUAAUUUAGGAGGAGAUAAAGCCAACACAGUUGCUUUCUCCCCUGGUUUUACAACAUAUGAGUAAAUGUCAUUUAGGAAUGAAAUGAAUGACGGUGUUGACUCUUUAACACUCAGGACAGGUUUCAUCCUGCACCGAACCAAUGACAGGAGAUAAAGUGACUACGUGGAAGGUGGUGUUUGAAGCAAACUUUUAAUGAAAGGAAUAAAAUAAAAGCUGAUCUAAUUUCCCCUGUUGCUCUGGGAGGAGGCUGUGGGGAGGUUGGAACUUUCUCUUCAUGCUGACAACUGCAAAAAUCCAGUCCACUUACAUCAGGGCGACCAGAAGUGACUGGAAACAGGUCCGUUUAUUCUUAAACAAAGCUUUCAGAAAACUGAGUUUCAGAAGGUGAAAUUUGUUCUGUGGGUCAUUUUAAGUGACUUGAUGCAACUACGACAUUCCUUUGGGUUUUGCAGGUAAAACAUCUUAGAAAUGGACUCUCAGCAUUUGAUUGAGUCCUAGGCACCCCCUCCUCCAGCAGUGGCCUCCCCUACCCCCAACCAGGCCCAUGUAGCACCUGGCCCUCACCACUCCAGCCCCCACAUGGGAUCAGGGGAAGUUCUGGAACUGACCUCCCUCCAUGCAACAAUGCAGGUGAGCCAGGGUCCCCAGGCAGUGGAUUCCUGCUCAGUGUGCAGUCAGCUCUUCACUCUGUUCCAUGGCAAAGGCAGAGGAAAGUUUCUCCUGUCUCCCAGGAGGUUCUUGGCUGUCACCUGUCACCAGACAGGCUUCAUCUCCACUUACCCAGGACUUGCAGAAUGAAUAAGCUUCGUGAUGCAGAACACGUGUCCUUAUCAUUUUCCUCUAGUUUUAAAAACCUGUGCGCAUAACAGAUGCCUUUAGGUGAAUCUCUGAGAGAGAGCUCAAUAAACAAGGUGCAUCACUUAGGAGGGAUUCCAGUGGUGACUUCUCACUUCCUGGGACUGGACAAAGCCCCCUUCUGUGGAAGACCCUCCCUAAGAAGGCCCAGAGUCUCCCCAAGGCGCCUGAUGGAAGGAGACGGCCCCUACCUAAAGCAUCCUUGAUUGCACAGAGACUCCUACAGAGGGGACUCCGAGGGUGGGUGAUGGAGUCGUACCCCUGCUCAUUCCCAUCAGGCCUGCUCACUGAUGCACAGCACGCUGUCCUGCGGAAACCUCCGUCUUUUCAUCUGUAAAAUGGAGAUGAUAGUAGCAUCCACCCCAUAGGACUGAGAUAUUUUUUCUAGAGUGCUUGCAAAGAUCCCGCACAUGGUAAGCCCACAGUGACUGUGAGCUUCUAGGUGGUCCCUGCUCCCAGAGCUGAGGGCUGCAGCUGUCCAAGACGUCGUCUUCACCUCUUCUCUUCCCAGGAUCUGUG